Molecule: ribosomal RNA, 433 nt
Filed under: uncultured bacterium
Lineage: Bacteria
Description: partial 16S ribosomal RNA
Rfam family: Bacterial small subunit ribosomal RNA
Source: RNAcentral
AACGAACGCUGGCGGCAUGCCUAACACAUGCAAGUCGAACGAGACCUUCGUGUCUAUUGGCGCACGGGUGCGUAACGCGUGGGAACCUGCCCUUAGGUUCGGAAUACCUCCCCGAAAGGGGUGCUAAUACCGGAUAAUGUCUUCGGACCAAAGAUUUAUCGCCUUUGGAUGGGCCCGCGUUGGAUUAGCUAGUUGGUAGGGUAAAAGCCUACCAAGGCGACGAUCCAUAGCUGGUCUGAGAGGAUGAUCAGCCACACUGGGACUGAGACACGGCCCAGACUCCUACGGGAGGCAGCAGUGGGGAAUAUUGGACAAGGGGCGAAAGCCUGAUCCAGCAAUGCCGGGUGAGUGAUGAAGGCCUUAGGGUUGUAAAGCUCUUUUACCCGGGAUGAUAAUGACAGUACCGGGAGAAUAAGCUCCGGCUAACUCCGUG